GGUAGGGUGGCCGAGGAAGGCGUGGGGCUGUAAACCCCAGCACGGAGAAAAGUAGUCUUCCCCUAUCA
This is a non-coding RNA of Lacerta agilis (Sand lizard), 68 nucleotides long. The record is from the annotation of a RefSeq genome assembly. Lineage: Eukaryota; Metazoa; Chordata; Lepidosauria; Squamata; Lacertidae.